Molecule: ribosomal RNA, 405 nt
Filed under: uncultured bacterium
Lineage: Bacteria
Description: bacterial SSU rRNA
Rfam family: Bacterial small subunit ribosomal RNA
Source: RNAcentral
AACGAACGCUGGCGGCAUGCCUAACACAUGCAAGUCGAACGAACCCUUCGGGGUUAGUGGCGCACGGGUGCGUAACGCGUGGGGAUCUGCCCUUUGCUUCGGAAUAACAGUUAGAAAUGACUGCUAAUACCGGAUGAUGUCGAAAGACCAAAGAUUUAUCGGCAAAGGAUGAACCCGCGUAGGAUUAGCUAGUUGGUGGGGUAAAGGCCUACCAAGGCGACGAUCCUUAGCUGGUCUGAGAGGAUGAUCAGCCACACUGGGACUGAGACACGGCCCAGACUCCUACGGGAGGCAGCAGUGGGGAAUAUUGGACAAUGGGCGAAAGCCUGAUCCAGCAAUGCCGCGUGAGUGAUGAAGGCCUCGGUGUAAGCUCUUACUACGGGUAGUGAUAAUAGACAGUAACCU